Molecule: long non-coding RNA, 827 nt
Organism: Pongo pygmaeus (Bornean orangutan)
Lineage: Eukaryota; Metazoa; Chordata; Mammalia; Primates; Hominidae
Exons: 5
Source: RefSeq, a predicted model, not a curated record
ACACCCUGGGCUUAAUGCAAAUUAAAUUAGAAUGAGAAAAGUAAUUAUCCAGGACUUACAACGGCCAAGUAAAGAAAUGAGAUGACUGCCCUUCAUACAAGGAGGUGCUGCUGAUCUGCUAUUAACAAGAGAUUUGUGAAAUGUUUUGCUAAGAAGACUUUUCACUGCAAAGCACCCACUUUGUUUAAAGCAACAAGGCAAAGUGCUGGAUGAACGUAAAGAGGUUUUCAACACAGAACUUCACAAUAAAAACGGUAAAUACUGACAAUCACAGACCUAGAGUACUGUUUUUUCUUAAGAAUGUCUUUUCCAACCCCUGGCACCAGUAGAUGUCUUCCACCUUGGGACAGUCUUGAAAAUUACGGCCCGGUAAUUAUCAUCUUUGGGGAUGAUGUAAGGCCAUAUUAUAUGGAAGAUUAUAUGAAGAUUCACAGACUACUGAAAAGACAGGCAUCUGGUUUUAAAUUUGGCUCCAUGUCAGUCUUGAAGGGCAGUAUUCAAAAGACCGGAGCCUGUCCCAGCUGCUGACCUUAGCCAGGGGAUGUCAGAACAGCGGAGCCAUGAAAUCCUCCAUCCAAGUACCACAAUAAUGUGCCAAAAGAUGAGGGUGACUUCACACCUUGGCUAAUUCACAUCUGCAAAGAGAGAAAACAAUUUGCAACUGAAUCCAGCCCCACUAAUACCAUCCUAGCGAGUUCUCCCCAUCAGCCAAUCUGGAGGCUGCUGGCAAACCGAGACUUUGUCUCAAGAGAUGUAGAUGUGGUAUAAUAUGCAAAUGCAACAUGCUACAUGUUUAUUGGUUUGUCUGACAUGCUUAUAGAGUCUAU